Molecule: non-coding RNA, 125 nt
Organism: Triticum aestivum (bread wheat)
Lineage: Eukaryota; Viridiplantae; Streptophyta; Magnoliopsida; Poales; Poaceae
Source: Rfam
CACAUACUCCCUCAUUCCGAAAAAGCUUGUCCCUCAAAUGGAUGUAUCUAGCACCAAGUUAGUGCUAGAUACAUCCAUUUAAGAAAUAAGGUUGAGACAAGCUUUUCAGACGGAGGGAGUAUGAG